This 243-nucleotide long non-coding RNA is filed under the name Lathyrus oleraceus (garden pea). RNAcentral's name for it is "Pisum sativum (pea) long non-coding RNA (PSAT_LNC017877)". The record is from RNAcentral. Lineage: Eukaryota; Viridiplantae; Streptophyta; Magnoliopsida; Fabales; Fabaceae.
UUGUCACUAGAUAUUCCUUCACCUGUUAUGGGUCUUUUAAACCAACUCAACUUGAUCCUCUCACUUUGCCUUCUUUUGAUGAUAGGUUUUUUUUCAACCCUUUUUCUGGAUUGUUUUGUGAUUGAGGCAGCCACACUAGAUCCUGUUUGACUCAUAAUAGUUGGAACAGGCAUAUCAGUUGGAGGCUGUGGAUCAGUUGGAACAGGCACAUUUGUUGGAACAGUCAUAUCAGUUGCAGUUGGG